CUCAACCAACUGAGCCACCCAGGUGCCCCAACAUCUAAAAAAACGCAAAGAAUACCAUAAAAAACCUGGAACAGCCCAUCUGCAUGGAGCAAGUCCCUCGUGAGCACUCACGGAACCAGACACACGUCCUUCUCCUGUUCCGCAGUGCAGAUGUGUGACGGAGCAUGCAUCUAUGAAGCUAUGCCAGGGAACCGAGGCUGCCAGAGCCUCCACCUUCUGGAACAUCGCUGGUUGCCAUGGCAAGGGAAAGGGAAAUGGCAAGUCAAAUACUGCAUCUGAAAGUCUUCUGCCUGAAAAUGAUACGAAACAUUUCAUUUGUGUCUCAUUGGCCAGAGCAAGUCACAUGGCCUGCGAAACAUCAAGGUGGCAAAGUAUUGUAUUCUUUUUUUGCUUGGAAAGAGACAAACCAGACAUAUUGAAGAAUCCCAACGACUACUGAAGUUUGCCCUUUCUGCUCCUGCACAUUUCAGUUUACUUCUCUUUCUGCAUGCAAAAUACACUCAAGCCUUCCUCCAGGGAAU
This is a long non-coding RNA of Suricata suricatta (meerkat), 521 nucleotides long. RefSeq lists it as uncharacterized. Lineage: Eukaryota; Metazoa; Chordata; Mammalia; Carnivora; Herpestidae. The record is from RefSeq and is a predicted model, not a curated record. The transcript is spliced from 3 exons.